This 730-nucleotide ribosomal RNA is filed under the name uncultured bacterium. RNAcentral describes it as "bacterial SSU rRNA". It matches the Rfam family "Bacterial small subunit ribosomal RNA", at positions 771 to 1501 of the family's 1533-position model. The record is from RNAcentral.
AACAGGAUUAGAUACCCUGGUAGUCCACGCCGUAAACGAUGUCGACUUGGAGGUUGUUCCCUUGAGGAGUGGCUUCCGGAGCUAACGCGUUAAGUCGACCGCCUGGGGAGUACGGCCGCAAGGUUAAAACUCAAAUGAAUUGACGGGGGCCCGCACAAGCGGUGGAGCAUGUGGUUUAAUUCGAUGCAACGCGAAGAACCUUACCUACUCUUGACAUCCAGAGAACUUAGCAGAGAUGCUUUGGUGCCUUCGGGAGCUCUGAGACAGGUGCUGCAUGGCUGUCGUCAGCUCGUGUUGUGAAAUGUUGGGUUAAGUCCCGCAACGAGCGCAACCCUUAUCCUUUGUUGCCAGCGAUUCGGUCGGGAACUCAAAGGAGACUGCCGGUGAUAAACCGGAGGAAGGUGGGGAUGACGUCAAGUCAUCAUGGCCCUUACGAGUAGGGCUACACACGUGCUACAAUGGCGCAUACAAAGAGAAGCGACCUCGCGAGAGCAAGCGGACCUCAUAAAGUGCGUCGUAGUCCGGAUCGGAGUCUGCAACUCGACUCCGUGAAGUCGGAAUCGCUAGUAAUCGUGGAUCAGAAUGCCACGGUGAAUACGUUCCCGGGCCUUGUACACACCGCCCGUCACACCAUGGGAGUGGGUUGCAAAAGAAGUAGGUAGCUUAACCUUCGGGAGGGCGCUUACCACUUUGUGAUUCAUGACUGGGGUGAAGUCGUAACAAGGUAACC